Molecule: ribosomal RNA, 497 nt
Filed under: uncultured bacterium
Lineage: Bacteria
Description: bacterial SSU rRNA
Rfam family: Bacterial small subunit ribosomal RNA
Source: RNAcentral
AUGAACGCUAGCGGCAGGCUUAACACAUGCAAGUCGAGGGGCAUCGGGAGUAGCAAUACUUGCCGGCGACCGGCGCAAGGGUGCGUAACGCGUGAGCAGCAUGCCCGUAUCAGGGGGGAUAAUCCAUGGAAACGUGGUCUAAUACCCCAUAGUAAUUAUGUAAGGCAUCUUAUAUAAUUUAAAGCUUUGGUGGAUACGGAUUGGCUCGCGUGACAUUAGCUAGAUGGUAAGGUAACGGCUUACCAUGGCUACGAUGUCUAGGGGUUCUGAGAGGAAGGUCCCCCCACACUGGAACUGAGACACGGUCCAGACUCCUACGGGAGGCAGCAGUGAGGAAUAUUGGACAAUGGAUGGAAAUCUGAUCCAGCCAUGCCGCGUGCAGGAAAGACGGCCCUAUGGGUUGUAAACUGCUUUUGUAUGGGAGCAAUAAGGGCUACGCGUAGUCCGAUGAGAGUACCAUACGAAUAAGCACCGGCUAACUCCGUGCCAGCAGCUGC